GCUGCUGUGGUUUCACUGGGGUUGCUUUGAGUGCAAAGGGCUGCGGAAGUUCUUUACCACGAGACUGAAGUGCUGGAACAGGCUGCCCAGAGAUGCUAUGGGUGCCCCGUCCCAUGAGGUGUUCAAGGCCAGGUAGGAUGGGGCCCUGGGCAGCCUGGUCUGGUAUUAAAUGUGGAAGUCAGUGGCCCUGCAUGCGGUGGGGGGUUGGAGCUUCAUGAUCCUUGAGGUCCCUUCCAACCUGGGGCAUUCUGUGAUUCUGUGAUUGUAUGAUUCUAUGAAAUCUUACACGGUUGUGAGCCUGUUGCACUUGUCUUACUUCUUUUUGCAGUCAAGUCACAACCCCAGUCUUCAUAGUAAAGGACGAAUAAACAGCUUUAGUACUCCAUUUGCUUGCCUUUAGCCGAACUUGCAAGAGAAGAUACACACUGCAGUGACCCAGCAAGAAAAGCAGCUGGCAGCUCAGGAGACAGGCACCAAUAUGCACCUGUCAUUGACAACACGCUCAGAACAUGGCCAAUUUCAAUGUAAAGGUGCAGCUCAAUGUGGAGUCACAUAUGUUGCCUACGAUCAGCACCACUGUGUGGUAUUGCAGAGAGGUUUUAGUAAGCAUGACUUUGCUUCACUUUGGAGAAGGCCGAGUCGGAAGAGUCACCACAAACGUGCACCAAACGACAGAUCUGUAGCGAGGCUCUACAGGCCUGAAACACGGGGUGAACUGCAUCGCGGUGAAGCCCAUCAGGGUACUGUGAGCACUGAAACAGGCUGCCCGGGGCAGUGGGCACGGCCCCGAGCUGUCAGAGUUCAAAAAGCGUCUGGAGAACGCGUAGGAAGGUGCGCGCGUAACACGACGCGUGGCCGUGAGGGCCGUGAGGGCCCCGCGGGGCCUUGCCGGGGCCACCGCCGUGCAGUGCUGCCGAAGCGCCACCAGAGGGCGGCAGAGCGCGGCUCCCGCCGGUGCCUCCCGGUAUCCCCGCGCUGUGCCGGCGGCAGGGGGCACGCGGGCCGCCCUCUGCGCCUCGGAGCAAUCAGCAAGAGCCUUGACAAGUGCUGCCAUAAGGAUCUGACUAUCUGGCUUUUUUGAAUGAUUCCUGAAGGCUGCGAUUCAAUGUCUCCAUGUAAUGGAAUUGAUUUCCUUCAGUUAAGUUGGUUUCUCCCUUGGUUUUCCGUGAUGGCUUUAACCUGCAGCGCCAUGAGCAGGCAAUCUGAAGGCUGUGGUUGGUGACUCAUGCCAUUAGUUUUGCCUCUGGCAUUGCUACGGAAAAUCCAUUUCCGUCCAAACUGAAGCUGUCUGUUGAGCGUUAUGUAGUGUGCUGCCUUCGUUUUCUUUUCAAUGAAAAGCUCUUCCAUCUAGAAAUACACGUUCAGACUCUUGCAUUCCAGGUUUCCCCUGGCAAUCCUGGCAUUGGAUCUUGUGAAGGAAACACCUGGCCCUUGGACUACACAAAGUCUAACAUCAGAGGCGCCAAUCAGCACUGUGAUGUUAUGCAUUCCAAAAGCUGAAAGCGUCUGGCGAAUGAAGCAAGAAACUGCACAAAGGGAAAGUCUGGUGAUUCAGUCAGCUGCUCCAUGCCCAGAGAAGUGGCCUACGGCCCUGCCCUUCCCACAGCACUCUCCAUUCCUCAUGCUGGUGGCCAGCCAUCUACUACAGACAUUACUGAAGAGCAGUACUUGCAUCGUCGCCUUUAGGCAACUGAAAAGUAUGACUGACAUAAAAAUCCAGAGCUUUCAAAUCCAGAGGCCCUCAUUGCUGGUAGAAACAAGAGAGGGAAAUAUAUUCAUAUUCUAGACAGGCACUAGAGAGAGGUUCUCUGCUUGAAACUGGACUAAAUCUACAGCUUCAUACAUCGACAUGAAGGGAGGAGUAACUCAGCACUUCUCUCUCCAGCAUCACAAGGCUCUGAAGGUACUGCCUUUGACAGACUUUUUUUCUCUGAGUGGAUGAGUUAUUGAUCAAGUAAGAGAUAAAAAAAAUAGGCACUUACUUUGUGCCACAUUGCUCUGAUCAGUGAUAGAAGCUCACUGCUGGAUACCGAUCUUAAUACAAUCUCAUGAACUCAGCAGAUCCUUUUCCUUAGUCUGCACUAAUGUCAUAUUAAGUGUCUUUGUGUUUUUUACCAUAUUAAGCAUUUCUGAAACUUGAAGAUUGAUUUUGGUUUGAUUUUAAAGGGCUGAGAGAUUUUAGAAUUAGAUUUUAAUAGCCAAUUAUAGAUUAUUAAACAGUGGAAAAAAUUUAAAGCCAUUAAAAUAAUCUUUUAAACCUUCCUUAAAAUUACAUGCGAUCCACUGAGAAUAUUCGUCCAGCUGUAUUUGAAAAAUAUUAAUUGGAAGUCAGUGCAAAUAUAAAUGCUAAUGUGAACUUAACCAGAACGUGAGGGUUUCUGAACUGGAAAAGCUCUCAGAGCACACAGAAGUCACCUGUCAAGGUGGUUUUGGGACAACCAUAUGUACUAUGGGAUGACGGAGGGCAAAAAUUACGGAGGGCCACUAUGUGACUAAUUCUGCUUACUUCUAUUUUGUUUGUUUGAACAUCAGAAAUUCCUCACACGUAUCCUGUGUCUUCCAGUGAUUUGUUACACCUCUGUAAAAUACUGAUUUCAUUCCUAAGGGUGUUUCUGCCUUUAAAGAGCAGUAUCUGUCUGGCUCAGUUGGCAGUGCUGACCGGAAUAAAAACAAACAAACAACAAAAAACAAAAAUAAAUGAACAAAUAAAUGAAAAACAUCCCUGAUCAAAUAUCAGUAACUGUUACAGAACAGGAACUAAAAGAGGGGCGAUUUAGGUUAGAUGUUAGGAGGAAAUGCUUUCCCCAGAGGGCAGUGAGGUGCUGACACAGCUGCCCAGAGAAGCUGUGGUGCCCCAUCCCUGGAGGCGCUCAAGGCCAGGUUGGAUGGGGCCCUGGGCAGCCUGAGCUGGUGGGGGGCAGCCCUGCCCACGAUAGGGUUUGGAGUAGGGUGGGCUGUGAGGUUCCUUCCAACCCAAAUCAUUCUGUAAUUCUAUGAUUAUGAAUGUUACAUUUCAAUUAAUGUUAUCAUAACAAUGCUAUGGAUAUGAUUUUUCUUAUCUCAGCUUGCUGGGGAAUAGUGUAAAGAAUUUUCUGAAUGGGUAUAGCCUUUGGGGUGCCUGAGAUAAAGUAUUUUCACACACAUCCACCCCAUGUGAAACGUGCAGAAAGCCAAAAUAAACCACUGAAUUGGAUUUUGCCUUCGCUUCAGGAAGGACAGAAUAGUAGGGACUAUUUCUCAUACUUGAUCGCUAAUUUGUUGGCCAGUCAUCGUGGCAAUUAAGGAAAAAUGAUCACCUCAGUCCAAGCUGAGUGAAAUAAAGGGGAGAUUUCUUGUUAUGGCUGGGAAAAUCACAGAAAGCGUCACAGAAAUACGGAAGGAGCUAUGAUGGAUAUGCAUGGAGAAGACAGAGAACAAAUGCAGCAAAUAGGAAGCAUCAACUACUGAUAUGACAGAGAUUCAGAAUCACAGAAUGUCUUAGGUUGGGAGGGACAUCAAAGCCUACCCAGUCCCAACCCCUGCUGUGAACAGGGCUGCC
Molecule: long non-coding RNA, 3538 nt
Filed under: Gallus gallus (chicken)
Lineage: Eukaryota; Metazoa; Chordata; Aves; Galliformes; Phasianidae
Description: lncRNA (ENSGALG00010003207.1)
Source: RNAcentral